GUUUUAAUAGUUUAAUAAAAAAUAUUGGUCUUGUAAACCAAAGAUAAGGCAUCUUUUAAAAUA
This 63-nucleotide transfer RNA is filed under the name Morimospasma tuberculatum. RNAcentral's name for it is "tRNA-Thr". It matches the Rfam family "tRNA". Rfam says of the family: Transfer RNA (tRNA) molecules are approximately 80 nucleotides in length. Their secondary structure includes four short double-helical elements and three loops (D, anti-codon, and T loops). The record is from RNAcentral. Lineage: Eukaryota; Metazoa; Arthropoda; Insecta; Coleoptera; Cerambycidae. RNAcentral also lists the same sequence under 1 other name.